RNAcentral lists this long non-coding RNA (695 nucleotides) under Fukomys damarensis (Damara mole-rat). Its description in RNAcentral is "lncRNA (ENSFDAG00000033008.1)". Lineage: Eukaryota; Metazoa; Chordata; Mammalia; Rodentia; Bathyergidae. The record is from RNAcentral.
UUAGGUUAGGAGAGUUUUAUUGGAAAUAAGAAGAACAAAUCCUGGAUUUCCCUCAAUCCAGAGCUGCAUACAGAUAAGCACAGCACAGGGGUGGAGAAACUACCAUACAGAAAAGAAAAGUAGGGCCAGGGAUUCAGCUCAGUGGUUCUGCCGCCUACCUUGUAAGCACAAGGACCUGAGUUUGAUCCUUGAAACCAAAACCAACCAACCAAACAGAAAAGAAAAGUGUCUUGCCACAAACACAAAACAAGUUGGCUUCCAACAGACCUCAGAUGGACAGCUUGGCUGACCAGCUCCUUUGACAGUAAGAGGCGCUUUCACCUUAGCAGAUGCUAAAUUCCACCUCAGCGUGGUCGGUCAGGCCCAGGAGGUAUCUGCUGCUCGGAGGAGGCGGGGGAAGUCCAAAGAAGCUCGGAAUAGAUCUGGUGAGGACAAUGGUUGGCCUGAAUUAACUGAGACAGAUGUGAUGCGAAGACCGUGUUUUCAUGGAGAGCAAAGGCAGCCCAUAGGCAUGACAGGGAGGAGUUGGGGGCAUAGGCAGCCCCACAGGCACAGUUACGGACACUGGCAGAAAGGGCAGAAAGAUUUCUGUGCCAGCUAUGGCUCGAGGUGAGUAACCUUAACAUUUCUUUUUCUUUUUUUUUUUUUUUUUUUUGAGACAGGGUCUCACUAUGUAGUUGAGUCGGACCUGGAGC